RNAcentral lists this ribosomal RNA (494 nucleotides) under uncultured bacterium. RNAcentral's name for it is "partial 16S ribosomal RNA". It matches the Rfam family "Bacterial small subunit ribosomal RNA", at positions 28 to 507 of the family's 1533-position model. The record is from RNAcentral.
GACGAACGCUGGCGGCGUGCUUAACACAUGCAAGUCGAACGGUGAAGCGCCUUCCUAUUUGGUGGGUGUGGAUGAGUGGCGAACGGGUGAGUAACACGUGAGUAACCUGCCCCCUUCUUCUGGAUAACCGCAUGAAAGUGUGGCUAAUACGGGAUAUUCUGGGUCUGUCGCAUGAUGGGUCUGGGAAAGAUAUUGUUUCGGUGGGGGAUGGGCUCGCGGCCUAUCAGCUUGUUGGUGGGGUGAUGGCCUACCAAGGCGGUGACGGGUAGCCGGCCUGAGAGGGUGGACGGUCACACUGGGACUGAGACACGGCCCAGACUCCUACGGGAGGCAGCAGUGGGGAAUAUUGCACAAUGGGCGCAAGCCUGAUGCAGCGACGCCGCGUGAGGGAUGGAGGCCUUCGGGUUGUGAACCUCUUUCGCCAGUGAAGCAGGCCUGCCUCGUUUGUGGGUGGGUUGACGGUAGCUGGAUAAGAAGCGCCGGCUAACUACGUG